This is a long non-coding RNA of Macadamia integrifolia, 730 nucleotides long. RefSeq lists it as uncharacterized. The record is from RefSeq and is a predicted model, not a curated record. The transcript has 2 exons. Lineage: Eukaryota; Viridiplantae; Streptophyta; Magnoliopsida; Proteales; Proteaceae.
AUCCAAUCUCUAAACGGAACCCUACUAAACCCUAAACCCUCCUUCAUCGUCUAUAUGUAUGCCUCUCGCUCCCAUUCUCCUUUGAGACGUACCAAUACAUUCCAUCGAUUUCCUAAACAUCGGACUCUUUUUUCUUUUGAUUGUUCUUCGUUGAUCCAGAAGAACCCAAUAGGUCUCUCAAAUUUUUUAUAUUUUUUUUGGUUUAUUCUUGAAUUUUAUUUAGUUGUUUGAUUGGAUCCAAGCGCUUUCACUUCGUCGAUGAUGAAGAAAUUCAAGGCUUGUUUCUCAAAACAUUCGCAGUGGCCGCCUGAAAGCUUUCGCCUUCGCCGGGCUUGAGAGCUAAUGCUGCUUCAAUCCUUCCUUGGAUGUCUGAGACUUUUAUUUGUUUCGAUUGCUUCUAUUCGAUUGUGAUUGUUUGCGAAUGGUUGAAGGAGAGAAAAAGACGUGGGAUUUAUGGUUGGAAUGCUCCUGAAGAAGACGAUUUCAUCGAGGAGGUUGGAUUGAGUCACUGGCUCACAUUACGGGGAGAGGAGUCAGAUGCUAAAACAAAGAAAGGGGGGAAGUGGUUUCAAGCCAACAGUAGGAUCGAGAGGAAGAAAAAUGGAAAAAAGGGUUAACAUAUAUUUGUGAAAUUACAUUAUGUGCCCUCUUAAUUUCAUGUAAAAAUAUGUUUUGUGAGGACAAACUAUGUGAAAGUUGCCAUAGGAAAUAAAAAUAAUUUUUUUGAACA